This 7396-nucleotide long non-coding RNA is filed under the name Olea europaea (common olive). RNAcentral's name for it is "long non-coding RNA (OEUR_LNC000048)". The record is from RNAcentral. Lineage: Eukaryota; Viridiplantae; Streptophyta; Magnoliopsida; Lamiales; Oleaceae.
AUAUAUAUAUAAAUUGCCACAUAGAUAAUGAAUAAAUUUUUAACAUGAUUAUAGAAAAAUUGAAUCUUUAUAACAAACAGUUUAGAGAAAAACAUUUAAGAUUCUAAAAAGGAUUAAUUGCCGGAAAAAAGAAAAAGACGGCAAAAAAAGGGAGAAAUGUGAUAAAUUUCUUCAGAUGUUGGGUGCGUUCAAUUGGAGCUUAAAAUUAGAAACCAAAUAAAGAAAUUGAAAAGGUCAAAAAAUAAACAGCAAUUUGCACCACCAAAAGAAAAGAAAUUGAGAGGCGACAACAAAUAUUAUCUGCAUGUGAUCUAUGACUAUGAGUAAGCUUUUAGGGACCAUUUAUUUAAAUCUUGUCUUCGUGAUUAUUUUCUGAUCAAGGAUACGUGCACAAGAUAUUGAUUUUAAUCUGGUCUUCAACAAUGUUAAUCUACGCCAUUGCAAAAUGAAACAGGAUCAUGUGAAAAGUGUAUUUGUGCGAAAAUCAAUUACAACAAAUCUGAGUUUUCGAUAACCUUGGUGGUGGACGGAAGGUGGCAAAGAGGAGGAGGAGGGAGAGUUGGCGGAAGAAGAAGCGGCGACGGCGGUGACAGACACACGUGACAUGGGAAUUUUUACCAUCCACGUGUCUUAACUUCCGUGAAUCCAUCCAUGACAGGUCCGUCAAACUAUAUUCUACUCCGGUGAAGGCACUAAUUCCGGAUGGGUCGUCAAACUGGGAGAAAAAGAAGCUAUUCUUAGCUAAACGUUAUGGCUCUCGACUGUACUCUCCUCUCCUCUCCACAGAAAUAAUGAAAAACAGCGAGAAAAUGAAAAAAGAGAGUGAAUGUAAACCAACCAAACAUCCACCCUACAGAAUUGAAUGUCCAUCCAAUUAUUUUAGAUGUAAGUGGAUAUUGGAUUCGACAACGACUACUUUUUCUUAACAAAGUUAAACUUGUCGAGAGUCGGUCCAAUGCUAAAAAUUGAUGUAGAAUUUUUUUUUUAAUAAAAUAGAGUACUUUGCACAUAUGGCGGCUAUAAUAGAACCCCAACCUUGAUAUUGUUUCACAUUUUGUACGAAUCUAGAAGCUCGCAUAUUAAAAUUUAAGUUAAAAUCAAUAAUUCAUUUUAAUUACAUAUUUUAUGAAUCCCACAAUUAUUUAACUACAUAUUUCAUCAAUUUUUAUCAAAAUUCAUUAAAAUUUUGAUUUUAAUCGUCACCAAAUAGGGUUUUAUCUUAUCUUAAUGAUCGAACCAAUUUCUAGUAUUAUUGAGCAUACAUUUGAAUAAAUUCAAGGAAAUUUGACUAGUACUUAGAGUUCAACUUGAAAUGAAGUUUAGGAAUUUGUACUGAGUUUUGUCUGAUGUACAGAAUCCUCACAUACUUGAGAAAGUGGGGUGGACGUGGGGGUGGGGGUGGGUGAUUAUUUUUUGGGCCCCCACCAAAAUAAAUAAUCACCCACCCCCACCCAUACAUUGUGAGUAUUCUGUACAACAAGUAGUUCUCAUUUGUACUUGAUUGCAAAUUUAUUAAAUUGAAAUAAUCAUCCACCCUCCACCCAUGCAUUGUGAGUAUUCUGUACAGCAAGCAAUGCUCAUUUGUACUUGAUUACAAAUUUAUUAAAUUGCUUAAUUUGGAAAUUGAAAUGAUUAGAGAGUCCAUUGAAUAUUGAUAUAAUUGAAAAACCUAUUAUAGUUAGCCCUCUCUAUGGUCAUUAUUGAUAAAAAUAAAGUUUUGAAUAAUAAAUUUUUGAAGAAUGUGAUUAAAAAAUUUGAAUUUAUGUGCAAAAUAUUUUAUUUUGCAAAUGUAUAAUUAAAAAUAAUUAUGUAGUAUAAAAUUUUUUAGAAUAAUGAUCGUCAAAUAGGAAUCUUUAGCAUUUCAUUAUAUUUAAAAAAAUAAUUUCCAAUAAUAUAAUCAAUUUAAUAUUCUUUUGAUAGAAAUAAAAAUCAAAUUUUUAGUAAUUUUUUAUUAAAGUUAAUGAAAUUUAUGAUUAAAAAAUUAUGAAUCACAUAAAAUAUGUUAUUAAAUUAAUUGUUAACUUUGAUUCCAAUUAAAGUCUAAAUUUUACUUAAAAUGUUUCGCAUCCAACUUCAUGAUUUUUUUUUCUAUAUUAAUUAAUCGUACAAUAUUUUAUAAUAAAAGGUUGACUAAACUGUUAAUUUAAGGAAAUACACUUUAUUAAUAUUUAUGAAUAUGACAUGAAGGUGCUUCACGGGGAAAUAGUUCGUGUUGACAAAUGCAGCACAGAAUUUGCGUAUAAGCAGCUUUGGUAGCCACACACUCUUCCUGAGUGCUGGCCCCAUCUCCAUUUUUCUCAGUCUGUUGCGGCCCCCCUUCAACUAGAAAAAAUAAAAUAUAUGAAGUUGUCAUUUGUCUUAUAUGGUCCCAUUAGGUUCUAAUUUUUUAUCCCACAAAAUUAAUUUUUUGACCGUUACUUAGUAUGGUCAAUCAUUAUUUUUGACUUCUUCACUCACAUAUAGGAUCUACUUUUCUCUCUAACGAUUAAAAAAUUAAUUCUCAUAAUUACUACAGAACAUGCAUAGUAUAUCUGGCCCUUUUUCCUUUUUCUAAUUGUUCUCUAAGAGCUAAUGCCUAAGCAUCAUAAUCUAUUCACCGCAUUAAACCAGCAAUUUCACACAGCAAAAAGAUCAUAACAUUAUAAAUAAUUCCAUAUAACCAACUCACACUACUUUCUUAAUACGGUAUGCUGUCUACCAAAAAUACUACCCAACCAAAUAAUAAUAAUGAUAAUACAAUUCAAGUGCAGAAAAUGACUAAUGCAAUACGAGAUAUCGGCACUUCUACAAUUCAUUACAUAUACCUUCCAAGACUGUGAUGCAGAGCUUACUCGCUUUCGUCUGCAUGUAAAAGCAAAAAUAUUGUUAAACUGCAAGCACUCCUAUUUAUGUUCAAACAAGAUUCAUCACAGGCAUAAACAAAGUAGUUCAGGUUAGAAUGUGCCCAUUUACUCUUCUAUAAGGCCAUUUAUGUUAAGGUUGUACUCUAUUUUCUUCUCAUUUGAAGUGCGACAAUUUUGAAAUGUCAUAAUGUAUAGACAGUUUUGCCAAGUCUUGCUAAUCUAACUUGAUUUAGUGACAUUUCUCAACUUUCCAAUUACAACAGAAUAUUUUUUAUCUUGGCAUUAAGCAUAACAUUUCUACAUAAACUUGUAUGCAGCAAUUUAGAGGGUUGGAGUUGAAUCAAUGUUACAAACACAAUUAAAAAGCAGGCUGGCAACUACCCAGCACCACAAUCCUCAUGACAAUAUUUCAUUUUACAUGUAUAUACCAUCUAAAAACUCGUAAGAGGGGAAAGAGAGUUGGCAUGAAGAACCUCAAAAGAUGUAUACCUUCGUUGACUUCUUCACUACUAUCAUCAUCAUCAUCACCAUCACCAUCACCAUCACCAUCUUCUUCUUCUUCUUCUUCUUCUUCUUCUUCUUCUUCUUCUUCUUCUUCUUCUUCUUCUUCUUCUUCUUCUUCUUCUUCUUCUUCUUCUUCUUCUUCUUCUUCUUCUUCUUCUUCUUCUUCUUCUUCUUCUUCUUCUUCUUCUUCUUCUUCUUCUUCUUCUUCUUCUUCUUCUUCUUCUUCUUCUUCUUCUUCUUCUUCUUCUUCUUCUUCUUCUUCUUCUUCUUCUUCUUCUUCUUCUUCUUCUUCUUCUUCUUCUUCUUCUUCUUCAUGUCCUUCUUCUUCAACCUUUUCAUCAUCUUCUUCUUCUACUUUAUCUUCCUCUUCAUCACCAUCAAUGCCAUCUUUGUACUUGUUAUCCUUGUGUUCACUAGCUUUGACAUCAUCCUUAUCACCUUUAGUUUCUACUCUAGAUUUAGGAGCCAUAAAAUUGCUUGUUGACCUUCUGCGUGAACUUGAAAUGAUGUUGCUCAUGUCAAUGCCUUCAAGUUCUUUUGCUCUUUCUUUUCUCUUUCUACAGUCUUUAAUUUCUGAGAAAUGGAUUCAAAUAAUUAAGAGUCAGAUAUAUAGGGGGAUGUCUGUGCAUGGUGGUGGCAAAUCUUGGUCGGGGGUCGGCGUGAGGUUGGGAGGUGUGAAUAGUGGGAUGCAUGGAGAACAUUUUAUUGUGAGAGCAUGCAAUAUAUGCAGAAUCCAAACAGUAGAAUGGAUUCUGUUUCACCGUUUAUCAAUGCCUCGAAUAGUGUCUUAACCAACCAAAAUUAUUUUCAAUUUUCAAGCACAAUUUUGGUUUUCCAUUCAAAAGCCAAUUUCUCUACAAGUGCACAGUGACAAUUUUUGCAACUAAAAUAAUGUACUACUGGAGACUAGAAGGUGGUCUAGGCAAAGACAAGCACAGUACUCUAUAGUUGUGUCUGGCAUAUGUAACAGAAGAAGAGUACAGUCCACAUAGGUUCCAAGUCUGGAUCCAAAUGAGUACUGACAGAUACCGGCUCUCAAACAACAUAGUCAAGCACAAAUGCCAGGAUAGGAGAGCUCAGAUCUGCUACCCCUUCCCUCCCUCCAUUGCUUUCCACCAUCUUGUCCCCAACCACCAAGAGUCGAAGUGACACAUGCACACACCGACUGAUGCCAGAUAGAGCUGACAGGAACCAGCACAAGGAAAAUGAGAGAAAGGACCGCCCUUUCUUUGGGUCAACCAGCACUUGGGUGCCGAUUCCACUACUUUUGGCCAACAGAGUUCCCAAACUAGUAUUUAGCUACCAUCCAUGUCCUUCAUUUGUUUUUCUUUUCCAUUUUAAGGCAAAUGUUAAAUCCUCUAAAAAUGUAUGUUUUGUAUGUUUGGCAAAACUUAAAUUAUAAAUUAAGGACGUCAAAACACUAUUUAGCCACACGUUCUAUGGACCCACAACUUGCUAUUCAUUUUUUACUUACACAUUCUAUGAGAUCCGCAGCUUAAGUUUUGACUUAAGCACUCUCAAAUGAGCACUUAACAUAUAGAAAAAAAAUUAAAAAUAGAAGGAAAAUAUAUAUAUAUAUAUAUAUCCAAGCCCCAGCCAACCCCCUCCUUUCAACCAUCCAGCCGGUGAUGGUUCUUGGAGAUAUGAGCAUAUAGAUGUGGUUUUAAGUUAAGUGAAGCUAUUUACAGAUCUCUAUUUAAUACAUGCUUGAAUGGAUUUCAUCAUUGGCCUACAGAGUACUUAAUGAGUCUGUAAUCAUUGACCUUCACAUGAACAUUGAAGCAUUGCAAGCACCAAGCAAUACUAGUGCCACAUCGGUGUUAGAUCCAAGGGUCAUGGGAAGUACCGAGUUGGGUAAGGGAGUUAUCAGGUGUAAGAGGGAAUAAGAAAGCAGGUUACCAGGAGUAUCAACAAUAUAUUUUAUGACAUGUUAUCCAUAAAUAAGUGUAAUAUCGGAAUCUUACAGUUACCUUUCUCAGUAGGAUUGCUAGAUAGCCCUUCUCUUUUGAGAAUCCCUUCCAACUCCUUCACUAAAAAGGCUUCUCGUUUGCUGUCAGGUACUUGCUUGGCUUUCUUGUAAACUGUAGGAGCGACGCUGUUCGUUUUCAAUUGAGAAAAUGAGAUACCAUCAUAACAGGUUGAUAAUGAUGACUUAAACACUACCAUCCACACACACCAACCUCAUUCCACAUGAUUUAAUUACAGAUCUCAGAUGGUCGACUUGUUUUCCAUAUCCAGGGGUCGGUUGUUCUUUCCUCUGCAUAUGAAAAUCAAUUAUUUAAGACUCUGUGGAUCAUGCAUGAGCCCGCACAUUGGAAAAAAAAUCCAGCCAUAGAAAAAUGAAAGACUAACCUUCGCAGGUUUCCCUACAGAUGAUUCAGAUUGACCAUCUUCAGAUACACCUCCAUCAUUAGCUGAAUCAAUAUCUUCUUCUUUCGGCCUCUUUGCACGCGUGCUUUGGUUCUUGCCAGGGACAUUGAGAUCACUGUAUUUGUUAGACCUUUUACGUUUCUUCAGCUCAUCCGAUUUCUCAUCCUUUGCCCUUGUAGCAGCCUUCUUCCUUGAUUGUACUAUGUCUUUUCCUUUGUCACUUUCCUUAUCUGAAGAAUCAGAACCUGUCUCACUGCUGAUCUUUUUUGAUGCUUUACUUUGAGAGUUCUCAGAGCUUUUCCUCUUAAUGUGAUUAGCAUUUUUAGAAACACUGUUUAAAUUUAGCACCUAGACAACACCGUAACUUGAUGAGUAUGGUAAUUAAAUUCAUUCAUCCACAAGUUCAAAUAUUUUCAGAAUAUUUUUCCCACCUGAUCUAUUUGCUCACUUAUUAACUUCUUAAAAGGAUCGAGAGUAUUUUUAUCAAGUCCAAGAUCUUCCUCCAACAGUCUGCGAACUCCAGCCAAAGUUAUCUUCCUGAAAAGUACACUAGUGAGAGCAUUGAUUUUUAAUUGACAAAUAAGGAAAAACAGAAACAGUACAUGCAUUGACAGAGCCUAUCAAAUUGUUGACAAAAUUGUAAACAACAGCAUCUGGCUGAAGCUUCCCUCCUUUUUAGCAUUAUUGUGCUAAUAGGAUUUGGUCCCAACUUCUCCUUUUCAUUUUACAAAGAAAGAAAAAUACCAUACGUUCCUAACGAAUAUGGAUUUUCAGCUUCUUCGUUUCCUUUUCUUUUUCGUUUUGGGAAAUUCACUUACUCUUGCAAUGACCUAAAAAUAUAUAUAUAAAUUGCCACAUAGAUAAUGAAUAAAUUUUUAACAUGAUUAUAGAAAAAUUGAAUCUUUAUAACAAACAGUUUAGAGAAAAACAUUUAAGAUUCUAAAAAGGAUUAAUUGCCGGAAAAAAGAAAAAGACGGCAAAAAAAGGGAGAAAUGUGAUAAAUUUCUUCAGAUGUUGGGUGCGUUCAAUUGGAGCUUAAAAUUAGAAACCAAAUAAAGAAAUUGAAAAGGUCAAAAAAUAAACAGCAAUUUGCACCACCAAAAGAAAAGAAAUUGAGAGGCGACAACAAAUAUUAUCUGCAUGUGAUCUAUGACUAUGAGUAAGCUUUUAGGGACCAUUUAUUUAAAUCUUGUCUUCGUGAUUAUUUUCUGAUCAAGGAUACGUGCACAAGAUAUUGAUUUUAAUCUGGUCUUCAACAAUGUUAAUCUACGCCAUUGCAAAAUGAAACAGGAUCAUGUGAAAAGUGUAUUUGUGCGAAAAUCAAUUACAACAAAUCUGAGUUUUCGAUAACCUUGGUGGUGGACGGAAGGUGGCAAAGAGGAGGAGGAGGGAGAGUUGGCGGAAGAAGAAGCGGCGACGGCGGUGACAGACACACGUGACAUGGGAAUUUUUACCAUCCACGUGUCUUAACUUCCGUGAAUCCAUCCAUGACAGGUCCGUCAAACUAUAUUCUACUCCGGUGAAGGCACUAAUUCCGGAUGGGUCGUCAAACUGGGAGAAAAAGAAGCUAUUCUUAGCUAAACGUUAUGGCUCUCGACUGUACUCUCCUCUCGUCUCCACAGAAAUAAUGAAAAACAGCGAGAAAAUGAAAAAAGAGAGUGAAUGUAAACCAACCAAAC